Molecule: small nuclear RNA, 104 nt
Organism: Myotis lucifugus (little brown bat)
Lineage: Eukaryota; Metazoa; Chordata; Mammalia; Chiroptera; Vespertilionidae
Source: Ensembl
GUGCUCACUUUGGCAGCACAUAUACUAAAAUUGGAAUGAUACAGAGAUUAGCAUGGCCCCUGAACAAUGAUGACAUGCAAAUUCAUGAAGCGUUCCAUAUUUUU